RNAcentral lists this ribosomal RNA (354 nucleotides) under Triticum aestivum (bread wheat). RNAcentral describes it as "partial small subunit ribosomal RNA". Lineage: Eukaryota; Viridiplantae; Streptophyta; Magnoliopsida; Poales; Poaceae. The record is from RNAcentral.
CUCUCCAAUCUAUGGUCGGUCCGGGUGCCGUUGAAAAUCCGGAUCUUAAUUUGGCAAUGGAUCAGUGACUGGCUACCGACUGGGAUGGAAGUCCUCAAGCGUAAUGGCCCUGGCAAUGGUCUGUGUCUGCUUUGCGGUACGACCGAGCACUCAAACCACAUUUUCUUCUCCUGUGUGAUGGCGCAAUUCCUUUCGAGUUGCUUCCGGGAAGUGAUGGGUGCUGGGUGGUGCCACACCAACUUCCUGGAUUCGUACGUUGAAUUACAAUCACCCCUGCAGUGUCUCAACACACUACGUGGCUUGGGAUUGGGGUGCUGGCUUGGACGUUGUGAAAAAUUUGCAACAAUCUUGUGA